RNAcentral lists this ribosomal RNA (492 nucleotides) under uncultured bacterium. RNAcentral's name for it is "bacterial SSU rRNA". It matches the Rfam family "Bacterial small subunit ribosomal RNA", at positions 8 to 518 of the family's 1533-position model. The record is from RNAcentral.
AGAGUUGAUCCUGGCUUAGGACGAACGCUGGCGGCGUGCCUAACACAUGCAAGUCGAGCGAGGAGAUCCUUCGGGAUGAUCCUAGCGGCGGACGGGUGAGUAACACGUGGGCAACCUGCCUCAUAGAGAGGAAUAGCCUUCCGAAAGGGAGAUUAAUACCUCAUAACAUUGCAGUUUCGCAUGGAACAGCAACUAAAGGAGUAAUCCGCUAUGAGAUGGGCCCGCGGCGCAUUAGCUAGUUGGUGAGGUAACGGCUCACCAAGGCGACGAUGCGUAGCCGACCUGAGAGGGUGAUCGGCCACAUUGGGACUGAGACACGGCCCAGACUCCUACGGGAGGCAGCAGUGGGGAAUAUUGCACAAUGGGGGAAACCCUGAUGCAAGCAACGCCGCGUGAGUGAUGACGGCCUUCGGGUUGUAAAGCUCUGUCUUCAGGGACGAUAAUGACGGUACCUGAGGAGGAAGCCACGGCUAACUACGUGCCAGCCGCUGC